Molecule: non-coding RNA, 390 nt
Organism: Talpa occidentalis (Iberian mole)
Lineage: Eukaryota; Metazoa; Chordata; Mammalia; Eulipotyphla; Talpidae
Source: the annotation of a RefSeq genome assembly
AUGGUGCCACAGUCACAACUCCUCAUCUCCCUGCUGCUCUGGGUCUCAGGAGUCUCUGGGGCCAUCGUGAUGACCCAGUCUCCAGACUCCCUGGCCAUGUCUACAGGAGAGAGGGUCACCAUCUCCUGCAAGUCCAGUCAGAGUCUUUUGUACAGCAACAACCAGAAGAACUACUUAGCCUGGUACCAGCAGAAACCGGGACAGCCACCUAAGCUGCUCAUCAUCUGGGCAUCCACCCGGCAACCUGGGGUCCCCGACCGAUUCAGUGGCAGUGGGUCUGCAAAGGACUUCACUCUCACCAUCAGCAGCCUCCAGGCUGAAGAUGUGGGUGUUUAUUACUGUCAGCAGUAUUAUGAAUAUCCUCCCACAGUGUUUCAGCCUCGUACAUAA